UGUAAGCGUAUACCAAAGUUUUUGCAGUUAAAACACUCGUAGUCGGAAUUUGGCAGUUCCGGAUGUGUGCACGUCGUGUGCGCACUUCGCGGGGAUUGCUUUUGUGGUCUUGCGUAGGAUGAGGCACUUUUAUUAGUGAACGUCCUCACGCAACCACUUUUUACUGUGAGAAAAUCAGAGUGCUCAAAGCAGGCAUUUGCCGUGAAUGUAUUAGCAUGGAAUAAUAGAAUAGGACUUGGUUCUAUUUUGUUGGUUUGUUGGGACUGAGUAAUGAUUAAGAGGGACAGUUGGGGGCAUUUGUAUUUCGGUGCUAGAGGUGAAAUUCUUAGAUUACCGAAAGACAAACUGCUGCGAAAGCGUCUGCCAAGGAUGUUUUCAUUGA
Molecule: ribosomal RNA, 382 nt
Filed under: uncultured eukaryote
Lineage: Eukaryota
Description: partial 18S ribosomal RNA
Rfam family: Eukaryotic small subunit ribosomal RNA
Source: RNAcentral